Molecule: unclassified non-coding RNA, 332 nt
Filed under: soil metagenome
Description: partial contains 5.8S ribosomal RNA, internal transcribed spacer 2, and large subunit ribosomal RNA
Rfam family: 5.8S ribosomal RNA (bases 1-120)
Source: RNAcentral
GAUGAAGAACGUAGCGAAAUGCGAUAAGUAGUGUGAAUUGCAGAAUUCAGUGAAUCAUCGAAUCUUUGAACGCACAUUGCGCCCCUUGGUAUCCCGAGGGGCAUGCCUGUUCGAGCGUCAUUAUCACCCCUCAAGCUCAGCUUGGUGUUGGGGCCGGCCCGUCACAGGGCCGCCCCUAAAAGCAGUGGCGGUGCCAUCUGGCUCUACGCGUAGUAAUACUCCUCGCGACAGAGUCCCGGUGGUGUCCUGCCAGAACCCCCCAUCUUUUUAAUGAUUGACCUCGGAUCAGGUAGGGAUACCCGCUGAACUUAAGCAUAUCAAUAAGCGGAGGA